AGAAACACUAAUGAGUAAAGCAAAAGAUCCCACAAACCCACGGAGCUCUAAAGUUUUGUCUGUUCUGUAGUUUUCUCAGUUUGGUAGCAGCAUAUCUUCUUCCCUUCGAUGUCGAUGAUAAAAGAUACAGUUUCCUCUAUCUCUCUCUGCAUCUCUCUUUGUUCGCGAAAUCUGCUGUUUAUCGCCUCUAAAUUUCGGUUUGCUAGGAACACAACCCAGCAGGUUUUAAUUCUUCUAUUACUCCUUUUGGUCACUAGCAGGAUAUUGACUCAAAGCAUUGGUCUCCUCUCGUAUACAUUUUUAUCACGAACAGACUAUGACAGUCGAUAGGCAAAAGCAACCAUGGCUAAUUUUCUUGCACAUUGAGCACUUGGUUGACCAUGACAGAAUAGUACUACACAUGGCUAAUUUUUAUCAUUGAGCAUUGCUUGGCAUCAGUCGAUAGGCAAAAGCAACCAUGGCUAAUUUUCUUGUUGAGCAUUGCUUGGCAUCAGUCGAUAGGCAAAAGCAACCAUGGCUAAUUUUCUUGCACAUUGAGCACUUGGUUAUUCAUCUGGUAUCAGUUAUGCAGUUGAAGGAUCAUUUGAGGAACCAAUGGGGAGGGAGGGCCUGCAAAACUAUCAAAAUUGGUGAUUUUCUUGGAACUGAAGAAGAAGUACUUGUGGUGAGGACUUUUGCUUCAGAAUAUAGCAGUCUUAGAAAGGAUGGUUAUAUCUUGGUUUAAAGAAUCUCAAGGCAAGGUCAAAAGAAAAAGGCAGUUAAUGAUCAUCUACUAACACUUCCGAAAGGGUCACUGAAUGAUCACUGGGUAUCAGUGACUUCUGGAAGUGAGGAGUAUUGUCUUAAACAUAUGUGUAGAAAUCAGUAUGAAGAAUGUCUAUUCAGAUGUGAAGAUGAUAGGUAAAAGACUUGAUAGAGGCCUUCAUCAGUUGUGAAUUUUCUUGCUAUUUGUUAAUAUUUAAUUUAAUAAGGUUUUUUGUGUGUU
Quercus lobata is the source of this 985-nucleotide long non-coding RNA. RefSeq lists it as uncharacterized. The transcript has 3 exons. Lineage: Eukaryota; Viridiplantae; Streptophyta; Magnoliopsida; Fagales; Fagaceae. The record is from RefSeq and is a predicted model, not a curated record.